UUUCAAUUGGUACAGAACACUUUUUGUGCUCAAUUACUGUAGUUUGAUCAUCUAAUACAAGUUGUGGUGCCAACGAGCGAACGAUAAUGCUCACUUUCCCAUCACUCUGACUGUGUUAAGCGUCGAUAAUCUGAGACAAACAUAUCGUUAACACGGAUUGUCAAGUGUUUGAACAUUUCUUUCCUCGCGCUCUUCGUGUACAGGAAACAUACACAAAACACAC
This is a non-coding RNA of Caenorhabditis elegans, 223 nucleotides long. The record is from Ensembl. NCBI's taxonomy places the organism in Eukaryota, Metazoa, Nematoda, Chromadorea, Rhabditida, Rhabditidae.